This 333-nucleotide ribosomal RNA is filed under the name Hymenotorrendiella communis. RNAcentral describes it as "partial large subunit ribosomal RNA". It matches the Rfam family "Eukaryotic large subunit ribosomal RNA", at positions 305 to 655 of the family's 3401-position model. Lineage: Eukaryota; Fungi; Ascomycota; Leotiomycetes; Helotiales; Helotiaceae. The record is from RNAcentral.
UUCAUCUAAAGCUAAAUAUUGGCCAGAGACCGAUAGCGCACAAGUAGAGUGAUCGAAAGAUGAAAAGCACUUUGGAAAGAGAGUUAAACAGUACGUGAAAUUGUUGAAAGGGAAGCGCUUGCAACCAGACUUGCAUGCCGUCGAUCAUCCUGGGUUCUCCCUGGUGCACUCGGCGGCGUUCAGGCCAGCAUCGGUUUUGGUGGUUGGAUAAAGGCCUUGGGAAUGUGGCUCCUUUCGGGGAGUGUUAUAGCCCUCGGUGCAAUGCAGCCUACCGGGACCGAGGACCGCGCUUCGGCUAGGAUGCUGGCGUAAUGGUUGUAAGCGACCCGUCUU